Molecule: non-coding RNA, 322 nt
Organism: Pelobates cultripes (western spadefoot toad)
Lineage: Eukaryota; Metazoa; Chordata; Amphibia; Anura; Pelobatidae
Source: the annotation of a GenBank genome assembly
AUUGUGUUCUGGGACAAAGUAUUAAUGUGUCAUGAUAGAAGGUGAUAUAUUGUUCUUAUACUAAUAAUGCUAUUAAGUCUGCCAUUCUUAUGGCUGAUACUAGAGCAAUCCGUAGGAGAGUUUUCUAGGAAAGUGUCAGAUUAGAAAUUUCUUCUAUGGGUUCAAAGAGGCUUUCAGUCAUGGCAUGAAGAACUAGAACUAAACCCCAAGGAAUUGUGACUUUCCUGAAAACAGCCUUGAAAAAACACUCCACCGUAGGAUGUUCUGCCCAUCUAAUCCCUGAUAUAGUGAAACAAUGUACUUUCAAAGUGUUAAUACUGAG